UACAGAGGUGGCAAGCGUUGUUCGGAAUUACUGGGCGUAAAGGGCGCGUAGGCGGUCAGGUCAGUCCCGUGUGAAAUCCCUCGGCUCAACUGAGGAACUGCACGGGAAACUGCCUGGCUUGAGUUCGGGAGAGGGAAGCGGAAUUCCGGGUGUAGCGGUGAAAUGCGUAGAUAUGUGGAGGAACACCGAUGGCGAAGGCAGCCUUCUGGGCCAACACUGACGCUCAUGCACGAAAGCGUGGGGAGCAAACAGG
This 253-nucleotide ribosomal RNA is filed under the name uncultured bacterium. RNAcentral describes it as "partial 16S ribosomal RNA". It matches the Rfam family "Bacterial small subunit ribosomal RNA", at positions 524 to 776 of the family's 1533-position model. The record is from RNAcentral.